Molecule: long non-coding RNA, 1158 nt
Organism: Daphnia carinata
Lineage: Eukaryota; Metazoa; Arthropoda; Branchiopoda; Diplostraca; Daphniidae
Exons: 6
Source: RefSeq, a predicted model, not a curated record
CCCAAAGCCCCGUGCACGUGGAUGCAAUAAAUCUUACCCAAGUAUUUGGUACAGAACAGUCAAGAACAAAUCCACCAUCGAAAUCGAAUUUUGCUUGUUUCUAUGUUUUCUGUUGUCUGCAAAACGAAGUGAGUAAGAAUCAGCUUCAGGACUGGGAACCCUUAGCAACAUACAACAACAAGCCCAAAUUCAAGUUAUAGGAUUUUGCCAUCCCGGCUUUGUGGCAACUGCUAUUUAUCUUCUUAUUACAUAAGGGUACAAGGAUUCUACAUUAUCCUUGGAGAUGUUACAAAUAGCAGCAGACUGCUGAAAGAAGGCAGGAUCAUGGCAAGCAGGACUUGGGGAAAUGUCUACUCCAAGUGUGAUGAAUAGAUAUUUGCCUUCUCACCCAGGCAGCUGCCUCGCCUUUCCGAUUACAAUGAAGAAGAAUCACCACAAUAAUAGAUAUUAAAAGAAUUUUCUAGAAUUCAGGAUCAGGCAGGAAAGAUUUGUGAAAAAAGAGCUGCAUCCAAGUAUCAUCCAUAAGUCAUGUACAAAGCAGGUCCACAGGUACUUACAUUAAUAGAUCCCAAAAGACGAUGCCUGCAUUGGCCAGCAAGUCUUGAUUGGUAAAGGCGCGGCUAAUGGUUUAGACAUUCGUAGUUAGCCCUACAUUCCAAGAUCCCCACUGCCAAGGAAUUUAUGCUAAAGGGAUUUAUUUCAAACAGUUUUUAUUUUGAAGUGAUGCACACAGAUAUCUUUCUCCAUAUUAUGAGUGGAUGUGAGAGUUUGAUGGAGACUACUGAUACCGGGUACAUGCAGCGACGAUUUGUAUAGUCCUUGGAAAAUCUUUGUUACCAAUACGACUCGAUAGUUUGCCUAAGAGCGCCACCAGUGGGCCAAGACCAGCUUUGGCACCGCAAUUCGUCAUGUCAGGUUAAUCUGACUCUAGUUGGAGACAUUCUGCCGAUGACAGACAUGAUUCAGUUUGUUUGUGCAGGAGAUGGUUUUGACCCGACUUCCAUGAAAGCCACAGAUCGUCCUAUGGAUUUUCUGGCCACAUGUAAGCCAUGACGAUAACAGUUUGAAAACAAUUUAUUUCCGGUUAUUACGUUGUGUUCCAUUUCUGAACGAAGAAAAACAAAGCUUUGGUAGAUAUACGUUUAUGUUAUGCAUAGA